RNAcentral lists this ribosomal RNA (253 nucleotides) under uncultured bacterium. RNAcentral's name for it is "partial 16S ribosomal RNA". It matches the Rfam family "Bacterial small subunit ribosomal RNA", at positions 524 to 776 of the family's 1533-position model. The record is from RNAcentral.
UACAGAGGUCUCAAGCGUUGUUCGGAUUCAUUGGGCGUAAAGGGUGCGUAGGCGGCGCGGUAAGUCGGGUGUGAAAUCUCGGAGCUUAACUCCGAAACUGCAUUCGAUACUGCCGUGCUUGAGGACUGGAGAGGAGACUGGAAUUUACGGUGUAGCGGUGAAAUGCGUAGAUAUCAGGAGGAACACCGGUGGCGAAGGCGGGUCUCUGGGCCGAUACUGACGCUGAGGAGCGAAAGCGUGGGGAGCAAACAGG